Molecule: transfer RNA, 63 nt
Filed under: Argas walkerae
Lineage: Eukaryota; Metazoa; Arthropoda; Arachnida; Ixodida; Argasidae
Description: tRNA-Tyr
Source: RNAcentral
GGUAAAAUGGCUGAGUUUUAGGCGGUAAAUUGUAAAUUUAUUGACGAUUAAAAUCUUUUACUU